Molecule: long non-coding RNA, 712 nt
Organism: Cucumis melo (muskmelon)
Lineage: Eukaryota; Viridiplantae; Streptophyta; Magnoliopsida; Cucurbitales; Cucurbitaceae
Exons: 3
Source: RefSeq, a predicted model, not a curated record
UAAAAGUAAACGUAUUUUCUUUCUACUCAUCAAAUCUUUUAACUUUCUUUAUCUAAAUUUAGGUUGUCAACAAUGGAGAUUUCUAUUAUGAAGAGAAUGGAGGUGAAGAAGUGGCAAAAGAAAAGGCACACCGAUUUAACGUGAUUUGACAAAGAAGAGCCUACAUCUAGGGAGAAUUCUUGAAGAAAGCUAAGAUGAAUACAACCCCCUUUUUUUUUUCUUUUUUUUUUUUUUUGUCUAUCUUUUGAAAACUCAACACACAUGCAGAUAUAUUAGGUGUUUACAAGAGGAUGUAACAGGAAAUAAAUCCAACCCUUCAGCUUUCGAGUCCUUGAUUUUUGACUUUAUUUGUACGUGUUCAGUAUUGAUAGUUUCUGGAAGUUUUGAAGGAUCUACAACGACAUUGUGAGCCUUUUGCUGAUCAAGCAAGACCUUGAUUUUUUUCCUUCCCAAUGGAAAAAUCACCAUUUCCAUCAAACUUCUCAAUCUCAAACUCUUGCUAUUGCUAUUCGCAAGCCCAAAGAUGAAAGACAAAAUAUGUGGAGAAGAGGGAGCCCACGAGCAAGAGAAAAUAUCUUUCUUGAAUAAGGUAGAAUGAAAGAUGGAGGAGAGGUCAUGUCAACCUUCUUUUCAACAUUGAGUUAGAGUCAACAUUUUGUAGAAAAUUAAUUACCCUAAAUUCUUUUAUAAAAUAAAACAACAAAUCUCUCAA